AUAUUUAUAAUUAGUGCAAUUAGUAUAACGGGAACGAUUCAGAGAUGAUUAGCAUGGCUCCUACAUAAGGAUGACACGUACAAAUCGAGAAAUAGUUGAAAAUAAU
This is a small nuclear RNA of Hibiscus syriacus, 106 nucleotides long. Lineage: Eukaryota; Viridiplantae; Streptophyta; Magnoliopsida; Malvales; Malvaceae. The record is from RefSeq and is a predicted model, not a curated record.